This 407-nucleotide ribosomal RNA is filed under the name uncultured bacterium. RNAcentral's name for it is "partial 16S ribosomal RNA". It matches the Rfam family "Bacterial small subunit ribosomal RNA", at positions 30 to 527 of the family's 1533-position model. The record is from RNAcentral.
AUUGAACGCUGGCGGCAGGCCUAACACAUGCAAGUCGAACGAGUGGCGGACGGGUGAGUAAUGUCUGGGAAACUGCCUGAUGGAGGGGGAUAACUACUGGAAAAGGUAGCUAAUACCGCAUACCAUCAGAUGUGCCCAGAUGGGAGUAGCUUGUUGGUGGGGUAACGGCUCACCAAGGCGACGAUCCCUAGCUGGUCUGAGAGGAUGAACAGCCACACGUGAACUUGUGCACGGUCCCGACUCCUACGGGAGGCAGCAGUGGGGAAUAUUGCACCAUGGGCGCAAUCCUGAUGCAGCCCAUCCGCGUUGAUGAAUAAGGCCUUCGGGGUGUAAAGUACUUUCAGCGGGGAGGCGUUACCCGCAGAAGAAGCCCCCGCUAACUCCGUGCCAGCCGCCGCGGUAAUUCC